UGGGGAAUUUUGGACAAUGGGCGAAAGCCUGACCCAGCAAUGCCGCGUGUGUGAAGAAGGCCUUCGGGUUGUAAAGCACUUUUGUCCGGAAAGAAAUGGCUCUGGUUAAUACCUGGGGUCGAUGACGGUACCGGAAGAAUAAGGACCGGCUAACUACGUGCCAGCAGCCGCGGUAAUACGUAGGGUCCAAGCGUUAAUCGGAAUUACUGGGCGUAAAGCGUGCGCAGGCGGUUGUGCAAGACCGAUGUGAAAUCCCCGAGCUUAACUUGGGAAUUGCAUUGGUGACUGCACGGCUAGAGUGUGUCAGAGGGGGGUAGAAUUCCACGUGUAGCAGUGAAAUGCGUAGAGAUGUGGAGGAAUACCGAUGGCGAAGGCAGCCCCCUGGGAUAACACUGACGCUCAUGCACGAAAGCGUGGGGAGCAAACAGG
Molecule: ribosomal RNA, 429 nt
Filed under: Acidobacteriota bacterium
Lineage: Bacteria; Pseudomonadati; Acidobacteriota
Description: Acidobacteria bacterium partial 16S ribosomal RNA
Rfam family: Bacterial small subunit ribosomal RNA
Source: RNAcentral